GACGAACGCUGGCGGCGUGCUUAACACAUGCAAGUCGAACGCUGAAGCUCAGCUUUUGUUGGGUGGAUGAGUGGCGAACGGGUGAGUAACACGUGAGUAACCUGCCUCCUUCUUUGGGAUAACGCCCGGAAACGGGUGCUAAUACUGGAUAUUCACUGGUCUUCGCCUGGGGGUUGGUGGAAAGGGUUGUUCUGGUGGGGGAUGGGCUCGCGGCCUAUCCGCUUGUUGGUGGGGUGAUGGCCUACCAAGGCUUUGACGGGUAGCCGGCCUGAGAGGGUGACCGGGCACAUAGGGACGGAGCUACGGCCCAGGCUACUCCGCGGGGCAGAAGUGUGGACUAUGGCCCAAUGGGCGACAGACUGAUGCCGCGUCGGCGCGGGAGGGAUGGGGGCCGUAGGGUUGUGAUCCUCUUUAGCUCAUGGUGUGGCCGCAACUAUGGUUGUGGUGAGGGUAGUGGGUAAAGAAGCGCCGGCUAGCUACGUG
This 483-nucleotide ribosomal RNA is filed under the name uncultured bacterium. RNAcentral's name for it is "partial 16S ribosomal RNA". It matches the Rfam family "Bacterial small subunit ribosomal RNA", at positions 28 to 507 of the family's 1533-position model. The record is from RNAcentral.